This is a long non-coding RNA of Herpailurus yagouaroundi (jaguarundi), 564 nucleotides long. RefSeq lists it as uncharacterized. Lineage: Eukaryota; Metazoa; Chordata; Mammalia; Carnivora; Felidae. The transcript is spliced from 3 exons. The record is from RefSeq and is a predicted model, not a curated record.
AACUCGGAACUGCUGCAGCUUAAAAACUCCACCCCACCACACCUGGGGGUGACUUCCCUGACUCCAUUCUCUCUCUCUCUCUCUCUCUCUCUCUCUGAGUCACAGAACCUCACCCGAGACCUUAGUUCCCAAAUAAAGCCUUUGACUGCUAAAAGUUUUUAGCCUCUGACUCCUAUCUUUACCCUGCCUUACACCUGACCCUAACAUUUGGUGCUGAAAGCCGGGGGGAGGUAGUAGCUCCCCUCCCUUGGCUGAGCUCCCUCCUUGCCAAGCCAGAGGCCAACCACCCUACUCUCAAGUGCCUACAGGAGGCAGGGACGACAGACUAGCAAUGCCCCCACGUGGCGAGGCUUCACCCCGAUUGGACUCUGCCUUCCAACUGCUGGAGAUGGACGAUGACGACUGACGAGGCCCAGACUCAGUAACUCCGGUGACCCACGCUGAGCCCAGGGUAAAACUCCAGGUAGCGGUUUCCCAGGUUGCAUUUCACCAGAUGGUGGUCCGGCCAUCUUCCCGCAUUCCAGCCUCAGACCCCACAUACCAUGACCUCGCCCUUACACCCGC